RNAcentral lists this ribosomal RNA (492 nucleotides) under uncultured bacterium. RNAcentral describes it as "partial 16S ribosomal RNA". It matches the Rfam family "Bacterial small subunit ribosomal RNA", at positions 29 to 507 of the family's 1533-position model. The record is from RNAcentral.
AGUGAACGCUGGCGGUAGGCCUAACACAUGCAAGUCGAACGGCAGCACAGUAAGAGCUUGCUCUUACGGGUGGCGAGUGGCGGACGGGUGAGGAAUACAUCGGAAUCUACUUUUUCGUGGGGGAUAACGUGGGGAAACUUACGCUAAUACCGCAUACGACCUACGGGUGAAAGCAGGGGAUCUUCGGACCUUUCGCGAUUGAAUGAGCCGAUGUCGGAUUAGCUAGUUGGCGGGGUAAAGGCCCACCAAGGCGACGAUCCGUAGCUGGUCUGAGAGGAUGAUCAGCCACACUGGAACUGAGACACGGUCCAGACUCCUACGGGAGGCAGCAGUGGGGAAUAUUGGACAAUGGGCGCAAGCCUGAUCCAGCCAUACCGCGUGGGUGAAGAAGGCCUUCGGGUUGUAAAGCCCUUUUGUUGGGAAAGAAAAGCAGCAGGUUAAUACCCCGCUGUUCUGACGGUACCCAAAGAAUAAGCACCGGCUAACUUCGUG